UAGGCGUCGACCGGCGCGACGGUGAGUAACGCGUAUCCAACCUGCCCGUCACUUGGGGAUAACCUUGCGAAAGUCGAAUUAAUGCCUGAUGGUUUUCCACGGACGGCAUCUGAUGUGGAACAAAGAUUGAUCGCUAUGGGAUGGGGAUGCGUCUGAUUAGCUUGUUGGCGGGGUAACGGCCCACCAAGGCAACGAUCAGUAGGGGUUCUGAGAGGAAGGUCCCCCACAUUGGAACUGAGACACGGUCCAAACUCCUACGGGAGGCAGCAGUGAGGAAUAUUGGUCAAUGGGCGGAAGCCUGAACCAGCCAAGUAGCGUGCAGGAUGACGGCCCUAUGGGUUGUAAACUGCUUUUAUAAGGGAAUAAAGUGAGCCUCGUGAGGCUUUUUGCAUGUACCUUAUGAAUAAGGACCGGCUAAUUCCGUG
RNAcentral lists this ribosomal RNA (425 nucleotides) under uncultured bacterium. RNAcentral's name for it is "bacterial SSU rRNA". It matches the Rfam family "Bacterial small subunit ribosomal RNA", at positions 85 to 507 of the family's 1533-position model. The record is from RNAcentral.